This 4289-nucleotide long non-coding RNA is filed under the name Anolis carolinensis (green anole). RNAcentral describes it as "lncRNA (ENSACAG00000040182.1)". Lineage: Eukaryota; Metazoa; Chordata; Lepidosauria; Squamata; Anolidae. The record is from RNAcentral.
AUGUUGCACUUUGGCCGGCACGGCUUGUGUCCAGAGAGACACAACAGGCAGACAGGAUUUAACCCAGAGAAUAGUAACACUGCUGUUGCUCCCCAAAAUGUAGGGAACACAGCCUUCUCUCAAUGCAGAGAGCAUUUCAGGAAUGUUGGGAGAUGUUGCACUUUGGCAGGCAUGACUUGGCCAGACAGACACUACAGGCAGACAGAUUUAACCCAGAGAAAAGAAACUGCGUCAGUUGUGAAAUUUAUUUAAAACCAAACCAUGUCCCAAAAUCCCAGCCAGCACUUUUUCUCUCCCAAAGGCUUUAUCUCCUUUUCCUACUUUUAGUUCUCUUUUAGUUUAAAGUGACCAGUUCCCCAAUCCCAAACAAAACCCCAGCAUUUCUCUCCCCGUCCCAAAUGCUUUCUUUCACAAAAUGCCUUGUUUUUCUUCUUUCUCUCUCUCUCUUCCCAAAACCUUAAGCUUCUCUCCUUCUCCUUUCUCCAAACCUCCUCUAAAGUAAAUAAAUUCUUUUUCCAAUGGCUCCCUCCUCCCAACCAUGCAGCAGCAGCAGGAGCAGCAAAAACCAACCACCCUCAUCCCUUUGCCCGGUCAGAAUGAGGCUCCAAGGAAUGUGGGCGGGGUUUUAAGGAGGAUGUCCAAAACCCCUCCUCUUGCACAAACGUGAGCACUGAUUGGCAGGGAGGCAAGCCAGGCUUAGCUUCUCCUCCCUGCAAACAUAGUUUGGUUGCAUUAAAAACGCGUUGUCAUACAUCUGAAGCUAAUUCCAAGCUCAUUAAAUCAAUGGACUCAAACAUUUGAAAUUUAAAAGUUAAUUCUGAUGUGCUAUUGUGUCAGAACCCUGUUCAGAACCCCAAAAACACCUGAUUUAAUUACUAUUUCUGAGAAUUAUGAGUAAAUCGCACAUGCCUACUGUUCACUAAUAAAUGACAGAUCCAGGAGCUUUACGGAGGGAGCAUUUGAAACCUGUUGUGCUGCCCACUAUGUGUUCAAAAUGGUUGUUGUUGUUCUUGUUCUUGCUGUUUUCCUUCAGAUCAUUUUUGAUUUAUCAUGACCCUAGGGUGAGCCUAUCACAGGGUUACCUUGCGGCUUGUUUACACUGGUCCUCUGUCCCAAAUUGGACCUGACGUUGCUCCUGGAUAUCCAAAUGAUACCUAAGGGCUUCCAACCCUUAAGUGAGAUAAACCUAGAUUAACUUGGCUGUAUCCCAUAUUCACCAAAGUUCGCCCUACACUUCAGGAUGAAUGUGAACAGCAUUGCCAGCUCUAAUCCAAAGCAAUUCAUCCACAUGGACUGGCACUGCCAUCCUCUUUUCCGAAGUACAUUGCUGGUUGGUUGAAUCCAACCCCAAAUAUUAAGGAAUUAUUGCAAAAAGGAGUCUAAAGUAGCAUCUGAAUUAGUCUUGAGCCUGUUGUAAGAGAAAAUACCAAACUAUAAUAAAAAUCAUAUUUUCUCCUGCUCCCAGAACAGAAUAGAAACUUACAAAAUACCAUAUAAUCCGAUUAUUAUUGUCCUAGCACUGUGAAAUUCAGGAUUAAUGAAAUCUUUAUCAUUUAAGAAGCAUGCUUGGUGCCUUGGGAAUCCAUGUGAGGCCAUCUGUUGACACAGGAUUGUUUUUAGUCAGCAGAGACAGUGAAGCAUUGUAUUUUGCAGUUUGCCACCUGAAAAAGGAAGGCAUUCAUUGAAUGCAUGCUUUUAUAUUCAGGAAAACUUGAAAAACUUGAGUCCACAUUUUUCUUGUUCAUUACUUUUCCCUUUCUUCCUGUACUGUAUCCAAAUGAUUAACUCCAUGAGAUUUGUGCCAAGCAAAUAAAAAGGAAGGGGGAAAUACAAAUACAAAUAAAAAAGGACAAGAAGUACUAAUGCCAAAACAAAUGCAACCUUCUACAAUUUUUAUCUGAAAAUCAAAGAGGGGUGAUUAAUCUCUGUAUAUAGAUACACAGAGAAAUAGAACAAGUUCUAAUCUUCAUGCCAGGCACACAUAUUUCUUUAAAAUGAAGCUGCACAUAUUCUGCUGAGUGCAGCAACUGGAAAGUUCACAAGGUAAAUCUUCCCUUAAAAUGCUAGAUAAUGUAUACAUUGUCCAAGUAGAUAAAGUUUUUAAUGAUUCCUCAUUAGUAUUGCUCUGACUACAAUGAAUAAUAGCAAUAAUACCUUGUCUAUCACUUUGCAAGCCUUGUUUAUCUCAAAAUGGCUGUAUUUCAGAAUUCGAAACACAUAUUAGAUAUCUUUAUUGAAAACUGCUACUGGAUCUUUAUUUUACUAAAAUUUAUGAAGUAUAAUUCCACAAUUUAAAUUAGACCGUGGAUUGGUUAUAAAUUUGUAAGAUUGCACUACACAAGUCUAUAAAACAUGGACUCAUUGUGCAGCAUAGCAAGAGUCCUCCCCACAUGUUUUUCCAUAGUCAUAUCAAAGGGAAUUGCAUCCUUGUGUUAUGAAGAACUUUUCAAUAACUUUAAAGCAUAGGUUCAUUUUAUUGCAAUUUCAGUGAGAGGUAUGUCAGAACUUUUACAGAACAACAUUUAGACAUAAAGACAUACAGAUUCUAUGCAACUGCAUUGGAUUCACAAACAACCUACUAUAUUGGCUAACAAACAGACAAAGGGGGUUACAUUUUCACUCAGAUUCACACACAUGUACAUGCAUCCAUCUUCAUGCACACAUCUAAAUAUUACCAUAUCCUUUCUCGCUCCUUGGAGAAGCACCUGCUCAGGCUAGGCCCUACUUCUCUUCAGCCUGCCCAGACAAAACACCCAAACUCCAAAACUCCAAAAUGCAUCCUUUUCCCUAAGAACAAUGCCAAGGAUCAGACUCCUGCUUCCAUACAGCAGAACUGACUCCCUGCAACACGUAUCAUGACUCCAAAAUGCAUUCCUUCCUCUUCCCUUGAGAAAGGGAGGCCCAAAAGUGACCAGACUACUUCCAUUGCAUACCUGCUACUCCCAUACACCAUCUCCACUGAGCAUGGUGUGUGAGCAGCGUCACUGUCUGUCACACUUUCUGGAUUGUUAUAAGGUCUCUUAUAUAGCAAUAUUUCGCUGAUCUUGUCCCACAGUUGUAAAUGAAUGAUAGAUGUCUUCCAUCCUGGCUCCAUCUCUGUUUCCUGGACCAGAUGUUGAUUCUUCUUUAUUGGUGUUGGCCUUGUGUUGACUUCCUUCUUAACAGUUAUAAACAUUUCUUUAAUUCGAUGUAAACAUUUCUCUUAUCAUUGUCACAAUUCUAAUCACAGUUUAACAGGCAGGUCAACUAUUUCAGGUCUUAUUAGCAACUUUUAAUUACAGUUCAGCAAGCAGGCAGUUAGUCAUUGUAGACCUUAAUAUUUUUGAAUGGUGUCUCCAAAAAUAUUUGCUCUCAUUCAUACAUCUUCCAUACAGUUCAUUCAAACCAUAUAUCAUAUUUUGUCACGCUUAGUCUCAUUCUCCCUGGCAGCAUUCACUGUGCCUAUCUGCUAAUCUUCAUACCUAAUAGUCUCAAAUAAUGGAAGCUCUGCCUCAAGGGUUGUGGAAGGUAAGUCCCAAGCACACAGAAAUGAUACCUAGAAACUUUGUUUGCUGAGCCAAAGGAUAAGAUGGUAACCCGUGCAUUAAAAACAAACAAACAACUGGAUGGGGCAGCUAAAUCUUUCUUCAAUGAUAAGAGUCAAUGAUAUCCACUGUACCUGAAGGGAGCGGGUUAAUUUAAGUGCCUUUCCUCCAAUACCCUUUUGCUCUCCUUGAUGAUUGGGUCACUGUGUCCAUCGGUUUAAGGGCUGUCAUAGAUUCCAGUUAUAUAGAAGCACUUUUAUUAGUACAGUGGGUAGAAGAAAGCAGAAAGUAGUCCACUGACCCUGUGUCUGCCUUGAUAUUAAUCUGAUUGCUUCAAUUCUGCUGUUUUCAGAAUCUGAGUUUUCAAUACUUCCAUAACCUGCUUAACUGGGUAGAAACGGAGAUACAAAAUUAUCUUAUAUUGGACAUAAUUAACCACCUUAGGUUCUUUGAACAAAGUGAACAUUUAAUUGGAUUGCUGAGACAACUUUGGUCAGUCAUGGAGACUUUCAAAAGCUGCCCAUUCUGACUACACUCUGCUCUUGAAUCUUUAGCAUGCGAUUCAGUGCAAAAUGAUGUGAAGGCUUAAAAAAUUCCGGUCUAAUACAUACAGAGUACAUAUGUCUAUAAGUUGCAUCCACUAAUAUCUUUUAAUACUUGGACAGUUUUCUAAAUGCUUGACAUUAAUCAUUUUAGCAUCAAUAUAAAAAAGUAAUGAUAUUGCAUAUUACCUUUCCAAGCAGUAGGAAAUUUCAGGAGUGUUUA